UCUGCUCCUAGGUUAAAGAUGCUAUGGGAAGAGACAAGUCUGGAAACUGGAAAGUGAAGUCCAGUUGUCCACACCACUUCCGGUUUAACCUUUCUGCUUAAGUGAAUCAAAAGAUAUGCAGAUUACUCGAGCUAUAUAAAUCCAUUCCAAGAUAUAAAAGAUCUUUAGGAAAGGUACCAGGUGAAUCAUAUUUCAUGAUCAUAACUUAAAGAUUAGCGCAUGCAGUUGGCUAAUUUUAAGAUUAUCUGAUAGGAGUUUGGAGCGACAUGCUAUGAAUAGACUUAUUGAAAGAGCAUAAAGAAAACUCAAGGUCACCAGAGUAUUGAACAUGAAUGCAAAUCGGAAAGGCAUUUUGAGUACAUUUUUAGCAGUUGGGAGCACAUAUUGAGUACAUUUUAUAAUUUUUAUUCACAUAGUGAGGCAAUGAAAAUUGUAGGCAAAUUAAUAGGUAACUUUGUAGGUCUGAUGUUGCAUGAUGUUUAUACGCUCUUUUAUUUCCAUGAAGGAUUGAUGCUGAACCUUAUGAAUCGCCUGACAAUUUUUCUGUUGCCUGGUAUUUUUUUUGUUCUAAGAUGCUUGAUAUUUGCCUAAA
Molecule: long non-coding RNA, 592 nt
Organism: Panicum virgatum (switchgrass)
Lineage: Eukaryota; Viridiplantae; Streptophyta; Magnoliopsida; Poales; Poaceae
Exons: 3
Source: RefSeq, a predicted model, not a curated record